RNAcentral lists this ribosomal RNA (428 nucleotides) under Verrucomicrobiota bacterium. Its description in RNAcentral is "Verrucomicrobia bacterium partial 16S ribosomal RNA". It matches the Rfam family "Bacterial small subunit ribosomal RNA", at positions 355 to 776 of the family's 1533-position model. The record is from RNAcentral. Lineage: Bacteria; Pseudomonadati; Verrucomicrobiota.
UAGGGAAUCUUCCGCAAUGGACGAAAGUCUGACGGAGCAACGCCGCGUGAGUGAAGAAGGAUUUCGGUUCGUAAAACUCUGUUGUUAGGGAAGAAAAAAUGUAUAGUAACUAUAUACAAAAGAGACGGUACCUAACCAGAAAACCACGGCUAACUACGUGCCAGCAGCCGCGGUAAUACGUAGGUCCCGAGCGUUGUCCGGAUUUAUUGGGCGUAAAGCGAGCGCAGGCGGUUAGAAAAGUCUGAAGUGAAAGGCAGUGGCUCAACCAUGGUAGGCUUUGGAAACUGUUUAACUUGAGUGCAGAAGGGGAGAGUGGAAUUCCAUGUGUAGCAGUGAAAUGCGUAGAUAUAUGGAGGAACACCGGUGGCGAAAGCGGCUCUCUGGUCUGUAACUGACGCUGAGGCUCGAAAGCGUGGGGGGCGAACAGG